GACGAACGCUGGCGGCGUGCUUAACACAUGCAAGUCGAACGGAAAGGCCCUGCUUUUGUGGGGUGCUCGAGUGGCGAACGGGUGAGUAACACGUGAGUAACCUGCCCUUGACUUUGGGAUAACUUCAGGAAACUGGGGCUAAUACCGGAUAGGAGCUCCUGCUGCAUGGUGGGGGUUGGAAAGUUUCGGCGGUUGGGGAUGGACUCGCGGCUUAUCAGCUUGUUGGUGGGGUAGUGGCUUACCAAGGCUUUGACGGGUAGCCGGCCUGAGAGGGUGACCGGCCACAUUGGGACUGAGAUACGGCCCAGACUCCUACGGGAGGCAGUAGUGGGGAAUAUUGCACAAUGGGCGGAAGCCUGAUGCAGCAACGCCGCGUGCGGGAUGACGGCCUUCGGGUUGUAAACCGCUUUCGCGUGUGACGAAGCGUGAGUGACGGUAAUGGGUAAAGAAGCACCGGCUAACUACGUG
RNAcentral lists this ribosomal RNA (468 nucleotides) under uncultured bacterium. RNAcentral's name for it is "partial 16S ribosomal RNA". It matches the Rfam family "Bacterial small subunit ribosomal RNA", at positions 28 to 507 of the family's 1533-position model. The record is from RNAcentral.